CUCGGCUAAAAAAGAAAAAUUGAUGCUACCUUGCCCCUGUUUUCUGCAGGCCUAAGUGUUCUUGUGUGUGAUAGUAACAGACUCUAAGAAGAACAAAAAUACAACUCUUAAUACUCUACAGUGUCAAUUCCGAACCUAUUGAAAUUCUACCACUGCCUUUGCUGGUGCACCUGUUUUCAGUAUCAUUUCAUCAUACUCAUCUUCAGGAUUUGACAACGCAACAAUGGCUCCACCUGCUCCUAUAGAAGCUUCACCUUCAUG
Molecule: unclassified non-coding RNA, 261 nt
Filed under: Hevea brasiliensis (rubber tree)
Lineage: Eukaryota; Viridiplantae; Streptophyta; Magnoliopsida; Malpighiales; Euphorbiaceae
Source: RNAcentral